RNA transcript from Antechinus flavipes (yellow-footed antechinus), 3684 nucleotides. It is a transcript of the gene named malate synthase-like, with no coding region annotated. NCBI's taxonomy places the organism in Eukaryota, Metazoa, Chordata, Mammalia, Dasyuromorphia, Dasyuridae. The transcript has 16 exons. The record is from RefSeq and is a predicted model, not a curated record.
CAUAUUCAGCUCUUCCCUUUCAGACUUGGACACUGUUGUGGUGGCUCAGGUUACACUUUGUGAAUAUUUUUGGAAAUGACUGUAGCAGCUGUGGACUUGGCCCUAUCUCCUCUUGGUUUGGAAGAUGAAUAUAACACCCUCCUAACCCAAGAUGCUAUUCGCUUUCUAGCUGAAUUGGUCUCCACUUUUGAACUGGACGUAGAUAAGAUCCUACAACAGCGAAUUGCUCGAAAAGUUCAGUUGGAUCUAACCAAUGGCCUCCCAGAUUUCUCUACUCAUACGUCCCAUAUUCGCAAAGACAAAUCAUGGAAAGUGUUGCCUGUUCCUAGGAGACUACAAAACCGGCAGGUGGAUAUUGGUGAUACUGCACCUUACCAAACUGAGCGAUUCCUCAGUGCCUUAGGAUCCACUGCACAGGGCAUUCAGGUUGAUUUCGAUGAUGGCAAUUGUCCAACUUUCUUUAAUCAAAUUAAGGGUAUCUAUAAUGUCGUCCAAGCUGUUCACCAUAAAUUUCCAGGUGCCCCACCCAUAUCCAAAGCCCCUGUUCUAAUGCUUAGACCAAGAGCCUGGAACAUGGUAGAACACAAUAUGAUGGUGAAUGGAAAGCAAGUUCCAGGACCCCUCUUUGAUUAUGGUCUGCUGAUGUUCCAUGUGGGGAAAAUCUUAUAUGAUAAUGAAAGUGGCCCCUUCUUUUAUCUCUCAAAGGUAGAGAGUUAUCAGGAAGCCAGACUGUGGAAUAACAUAUUUGUCUGGACUCAGGAAAAGCUAAAUAUGCCCAUCGGUACCAUCAAAGCCACUGUGUUAAUAGAAAGCAUUUUGGCCUCAUUUGAGAUGGAAGAGAUUUUGUAUGAACUGAAAGACCAUUCUGCUGGCUUGAACUGUGGCAUCUGGGAUUAUUCUGCCUCUUUUGUCUCCAAAUUUGGUCAUCGAGCUGAAUUCUUGUUGCCAGACAGGAGCAAGUAUGUUAACAUGGAAAAACUUUUCCUCAAGAGUUAUAUGGAUUUACUGGUGCAAACAUGUCACCGGCGAGGAGCUCUGGCAACUGGAGGGAUGGCUGCCUUGUUACUACCAAAGGACCAAAACAGUGACAGCUACCAGUCUGUCUUAGCAGCUGUUAAACGGCUCAAAUUGUUUGAAAUUAAGGCUGGAGUGGAUGGAUUUAUGGUGUAUGAUAUUGGUUUGGUGGAACCAAUGCAGAAGCUCUUUAAGGAAUACACAAGAGGUCCCAAUCAGUUACAUGUCAUUCCUGAUGGGGUGAAUAUUACUGCAACAGAACUACUAACCAUGCCUGCAGGAGGUGUCACCCUCCAUGGCCUGAAGUAUAACAUUGCUGUUGGAGUGCUCUUCAUAUAUUCUUGGCUGAAAGGAGAAGGUCAUUUUUACUAUCGUGGUCAAGUUGAAGAUUCAGCAACUGCAGAGAUUUCCAGGUCACAGGUAUGGCAGUGGAUUCGUCACAGAGCUAAAUUAGAAGAUGAUGAGAGAAUGGUGGUGUCAAGGAGUCUCGUUCACAACUUAGUCAAGGAAACGAAGAAUGAACUACAAGACUUUUACUGUCAAUCUGAAAGCAUGUAGAUUACUGGAGUAUGACAUGAAGCACACAACUAACAAAAAUUUCACUACAGUUUGCAUUUCCCUACGGAAUUCACUGUACUAAGGGGCAAGCUAAGCUGAUGAAUUCUACCGAUUACCUGAAGCAAUAACAUAGCUAAAGUUAAUGCUUAAGAAUUCUAAUCUUCACUUCAGCUAGCAUUUUGCCUGUGUCAAUGCAUAGUCUAUAUGCAUUUAUACUUUCCAUAACUCCUGCAAGAAAAAUUAGUCAAAUGAACAAGACACAUAAUCUUUAUAUAUUUAAUAAAAGCACACACAUACCUAAAUAUACCAGAGUUUAUUCGUGUUUUAAUGGGAAACUGCACAAAUAUUCUGGAAUUUAACAUGAUUUUUAUUGGAUCUUGGGACCAAAAUUUUUCCAUGGCUCAAAAAUUUAACAGUAAAAUUUGGUGCAAAAAUAAACAUCAAUUACUGUUUACUGCUAUAUACCUUUUCAGAAAUACAAUGACCUAGUAAUAAAACAUGUAUGUGUAAAAUAUUUAGGCAAGGAAUCCCACUUGACUAAAACUUAACUUCUUUUAAGGUCACUUCAAAUACUAUCUUUCUGAUUCCACUUCACAACUCACUCCCUCCAAACAAACAAAAUGAACAAAUAACAGAAUUAAUCAUUUUGGUUCAAAGGACUAUUAGAAGUCAUACAUGACAAGUUCCUACAACAGCAGGAAUUUCCAAUGUAAUUACAUAACAUUCUUUACAAGUUAUCCAACUUUUAUUUGCAGACUUCUAAUACUAAAAAAUUCACUACUUAAUAAGGCAGCUCAAUCCAUUUGGAGGAUAGCACUGUCAGAAUGUUUUCCUUAUAUUAAAAUUUAAAGUUCAGUUAUUUUUUUUAAAUAAAAUUUAAAAUACCAUUCAUAGUUGGGGAAAUUUCAAUGUUAACUUGACAAAAAUUCUUUAGUGGUUUUGUUAUUUGGUAGAUUUUUUUUUUAAUUUCCUUCAUUUUAAAUGUUGUAUUCAUUUAAAUCUAAUAAGAGAUUACUAACUGUAAACUGUUUCUAAAUCCUGAAAACUAAAAUUCAACUCCCUUUUGUCAUCUUAAAAAAAAAAAAAAAAAGAAAAGAAACCUAGUGAAUUAAAACAUGUCUACAAAAUAACUCUUGACCUGACAUUUAAGAAUAGCACACUGCUGUAUAUAGAAUGUUAAACUAGGAAUAGGGACACCUAGGUUUGAAUCCCAGCUCUGAUAAUUAUGAACAGUAUAACUAUAAUCAUAUCAUGUAACCUCAACGUAUCUCAGUCUCCCUAUCUGUAAAAUGAAGAAGUUGAACUAGGCAACCUCUAAGGUUUCUUCUAGCUUAAAAAAAUUUUUUUAUGAUUCAAACACCAAAACAACCGUGUUUUAAAUAUUAUAUUUGCUUUUUGUGAACAUUGAUUUCAAAGGUUUACUUUGAUGAAAUUUUAUUAAAGUAGUUAAAUGAUUCUUCAAAUAUUAUUUUAUUCCCGAUAAUACUGGUACUAAGUUAUUAACCAACUUCCUAAAAAUUCAGAUUUAUCAAACAAAUAGAUCGGAGAACAACUAUGAUAUACAUCUUCCAAAAGGAUUCUAUGCUAAAACAAAAUCACCAUAGCACCUUGAAAUAAUAAAUUUCUCUAAAAUAGGAAUAAGAACUUUUAAUGCAUUAAUGUGCCCUUUAGGCAAUCAGGUGAAGCCAAUCUAAUCCUUCUCAAAAUCAUGUUUUUAAAUGUAUAACAUAUUUAGGAUUACAAAGGAAACCAAUAACAUUGAGGGUGUCAUCAAAAAUAUUUUUAAAGCAAGUUUAAUAUUUAAAAUAAUACUCUCUAAAAAAGCUUGAAUUUAUGUAUCGAUUUCAUGCAUAAUUCAGUGCCAUAUAUAGAGUAAGAUGCUCAAAUACUUCAUCUGAACACAUUUCUGAUCAAACAUAACUUAAUUUUAAAAUGUAGCUAUUAGACAUAAAUGACGAACAUUGCUCUUCCUCCAAUUACUAUUCAAUUAUUAUUCCAUAUAAUAUAUAAGAAUGUACAUUAUAAUUAAAUUAUUCAAUACCUUGAGGCUUUUUCACAAAGCCUCAUUUACAUUAUUAACCAGGAAAAUUGCUGUAAAAAUUAUCUCUCUUA